ACGGCACGGAGGGAAGGACAGGUGAGUGCACGGGGCAAAGCCACCCAGGAAAUGGCUUAUCUUAUCAAAAAAGCAAAAUUCCAGAGUUUCUGCUAAUCCACAGGCCUUCCUCCCUUUUGUGCCCGGUUUGUUUCUGCGCUGCCGCCUGCUAUUCACACAGAUUUAAGUGUCUUCCUACCAAUAUCCCCCUCCUAAGUCCCCAGAGGAGACGGGCAGGGAAGGGAAAUGUGGGUAAAAUGUCAGCGAGAUCCUGUUACCCACCCUGACAAUGGUGGAGAUUUAAUUAAGUGUAAUGCAAUGUUGGACGAGCUCAGGAGCUGUGUAGAAGAGUGAAGAAAUACAGGGAGGAUGCACAGGUCUGACAAUGCCUCAAAACCCCUCCCAGCACUCUCACGCACAGAAAAGAAAUAUUAUUGUGCUCUCAGGCAUCUUCCCUGGAAAGAUCUGUACUCCAAAGAGACCAUGUGUGAAAAUCGUAGCAAGCAUUUUGGUCAACUGCUUGGGAACAACCUGGAUAGGUGGGGAUGUCCAUGUCCCCGUCCCAGCCCACGGCCAGGGUGGAACAAGAUCACCUUUAAGAUCCCUUCCAGCCCAAACCAUUCCAGGAUUCUCUAUGAACCAGCAAACACUAUUUCCAGGCUCAGCCUCAAUCUCUAACUUCAGACAUGAAGAAUUCAGACCCAAGAACACCUUUUAUAAACAAUAAUUACAGCGGAAGAGGAUUUGCAUAUUAGAUCACAGAGGGAGUCAAUCUAACCCACAGACUCGGGAUCAUUCGAUGCUUCGAGGAGAGGCAGAAAUACAGAGAAUAUAAUGUUAUUAAAGCUUGCCCAGUGGGGACACGUCAUCCUGCUUCAGUGGCUCAUUUCUUCCCCGAGGCACGAGGGCUCAGAACAGCGCUAAAAAUAAUUUUGUCUGACAUAACCCCGGAGACUUUCAUUCUCCAUUACACGAGCAGCCUUCGAAAAAAUUCUGCUGGAAUUUUAACUCGGAGGCUGGAGGGGGGGGGGAGAUGUGCCACGUACUAAAAUAACCCUGUCAGUCUGAAAUUUGCUGCUUGAUUGAAUUUUUAUAUUCCUCUCCACAUCGUAUUAGAAAAACGAUAUGCAAGUUUAUCUUUUUCUUAUCUUAAAUAUUUCAUACCCUUCUUACAAACCUUCUUGCCAUUAAACCACUUAACUUUUCCAUUUCUUUUCUCAGGGAAACCAUUUCAGGCUUCUAGUAAUUUCCAAGAUUUGAUUUUGUGAGCUCUUCUACUGCUUUUUUGCGGGUGUUUUUCUUCAAAUGUUCAAAAAAACCUGGUUUUCUUUCAGAACAUCUUGGUGUAACCAGUACUGUGGCACAUUCUCAAAAGCCCUUGGGCUCUGUCCCCAUUAUAUUUGGAGGCGCAGAAGGGAAGGCAAUCUCUGUCCCAAAAUACUUACAAACAAUCCAGAAGGAUAUAAAAACAGGCCAGACCAAAAUAAAACACAACAAAAAGGGUCAAAAAUGCAGAAGUAAUAAUAAACAUGAGAAACUCUGCUGCCGGUCUCACCCUCUCAUUAUAACCCUCCCAUCCCAUCCAGCCACUUCACACGUUGGUGCCUUUCCCACACAUUCUCCUCCUACUCCUCCGGCCCCAGAGGAGGAAGUUCAGCAUCACUUUGGGAGUGGAGUGAAAAUAAAGCCAUGCCAGGAACGGAGUGAAAAACUGAGCCCUUCCCCCUGCCCUGCUCUUCCCCAGGGCAGCUGCCCUGCACCACCCAACCUCUCACUUCACGGAUAAUAAAUAACAUUUCCCUUCCCAGCUACAGUCCCUUGUGCUUUCCAGCAACGAAUCUCCCACCAUCAAGAUGCCCCUUCACAGCCUCAUUUUUCUGCUACAUUGGUAAACUGCCUUUAUUUCUGUCUCACCUGUGCACCCUCCUUUCGUGCCCUCUUCAUUAAUGAACUAUUUAAUCACUGAAAGUGAAGAGUCCAGCAUUCCUUCCUCAUCUUUAUUCCAUUUCCUCUGCCGUUCCACUGAAUCACCAAACUGAAGUUCUUCUCUACAGCAUUUUGGGAGAAAAACAAACCCAAUCCCACAUGAACAGGCCCUCAGUGUUCUCCAGGGGUAACAUCAGCCAUCACCUGCUACUGGGAAAUAAACUGGCAAAGAAUGGAGAAACUUCUUGAAACACAAAUAUGGGGGAGAAGAAUGUGGGUGGGGAGAAACUGAAAAUAAUUCCCAAGCUGACAGCAGCUCCAUGUGGCUCAGCAGCCCCUGGGGAAGGCAGUAAUAGGACUUUAGGGCUGCAGAACCCUAUUCCCCGUGCCCAUUUCCAAUUUUCCUUCUCACAUCUUGAUGCUCCCAAAGCCCUCAGAAUUCCAGCGUGCUGAGAUUGUAUCUCUCGAGCAAGAGGCAGCGCUGAAUUGAUUUGAGCAGUGCUUUAGAAUGGAGACAGGCUAUUUUUACAGUUUCAGGUUUUUUUAUAAGGAUAUUAAAAAUAUGGAACAUACUGUUAAAAUCACAGCAUUGCACUAGAGAAAAAAUAUUAUCUUGGGGUAAUACCAUCAGGUAUCCAAGUGAUGACACAGCAGUGCAGCAGGGUGAUAAAUUCUACAAAGGAGCCUGAAUUCUGUGCAACUUUGGGAAACAAGGAUCAUACUGGUAAAUUCCAUUUCCCCAGAGAGUUUUAAGGAUAUGUGUCCCUUAGCAAAGCAAGACUUACUGAGACAUUCCAGGAAAAAAAAAAAAAAAGUCAUUAUUUCCUGACUAUUUUUAGACACAAAAAAAAAAUUGUUGCAAGAACAAUCCCCCCUUUCUUUAGGGAAAUCCCCAUCACUUUUCCAGUUGAAGAAACAUGGAUAUAAUAAUUCAAAAGUAAGUCAAAGGUUUGAUGUUCUGUGAAUGGGAGAAUGAUGGAAGAGUUAAUUAUAGCUGCUGUGUCACCCAGUUAUAGCUCACAGCACAAUCAAAAUAAAGAAUCUGACAGGGAAUUAUGUGGAGUCUUGAGCAGCAAAAUACAACUCUUUUUCAGCUUUAAAAAUAUACAGAUCUGAAGCUUGAAAGCUGCUCAAGGACAAGUUCCCAGAAUAUUAAAAUGAGAAUAUGGCUUUGCUUUUCCCUGUGAGUAAUUUUGAAAACAACCACCCAUUGCCAACGCAGAAAAUAAGCUAUUAAAAAUUCUUCUGGCAAAAGUGGAUUCAUAAAGCUUUUAGAAUGAGCUAGGGAAAUUUUAACACGGGAACAUAAUAGGAUAAAACAACAGCUCUGACAAUCUCCUCCUUAAAGUAUUCCAAGUAUCAAUAGGUCUCGGGGCAGGUUAAAAAUGGCACAAAAAUAACUCUGUAACUUCAUUUUGGGCUUCCGCUAGCAGCAUUAAACCCGGGGUGAUUUUUUCCAGAAGCAGAGCGUGCUCUGGCACUCAGCCUUUUCCCAACACGGGAGAACCUGCUCUUCCACAUCGCUGUGAAGUCAGCGGAGCAGAAUGCCAGCACGCCGAGGAACUAAUCUCCAGAGCUGUCACAACACACGCGCGGCGCCGGGAGGGAGCUGGGAACAAACGCUCCCGCGUGCUGCUCCCGGAACGUGGCAUCACUGGGGAGCAGUGUGAGUACUCAACCAGCAUUUCAGACGCUCUUUUGUCCAGCCCAGGUACUUCUACAAUCAGUUUCACUCUAAGGUAUCACAGCACUGAAGAAAAAUUAUUUUUGCAUUUUGCUGUUUCCAAAAUCAGAUGGGAAAAUUGAGCAAUAAGAGAGAUUGUUCUUAAUUAAACAAGGGGUGGACAUAAAAUCUCUCUUACACAUGCACUUUACUACAGGUGUAGUUUACAAGCUCUUUUAAAACACUUAUUGGUGUUCCAUAAUUACCUAUGAGUAUACAAGAAUGUGUGUUCUUACACUAUUUAUGUGUCCAUUUUUCAUCAAUCAUGAUAAAAAUCUAUUAAUAACUUGCAAUAUUUAUCUAUGUAUCUAUUUUCCAUUAAUCAAGAUUGAAUUUGUUCAUAAUCCAAUCUAAAUUUUAUCCACAUGGGCUGAUUCCCAAAGAUUCAACAUGUAAUAAUCCAGCCACGGGGUUCAGACUCAAAUACAUCUGGUUUCAUGGAAUAUCCAGUGUUGGAAGGGACCCACAGGAUGAUGGGGCCCCAUUGCUGGUCUCAGUACACUGCAGCUCAUUUAGCACACAGAAUUUUCCUUCGCUCGGUUCUAAAUGCAAAGAUGACAUUUCAAAUCCUGGAGUCCCACAAACCACGCCUCGUUUCCAGAGAAAUUUCUCAUUUUCAGGCAAUUACAGUUUGCGGGCCUAGUGGCGACGAAGUUACGCUGGGUUUACGUGUGAGAAAUGAAAGCACCGACCGGAGAACACAAAGCCAGCUGUCCUUUGUUCCCACAAAAGGAGAUAAAAGAGAGGCUCCGAGCCCCUGGAUGGAACAGAGACCCGCUGCUUCCCGUCAAUGGCAGCGGCGCUGAAUCAAGGGAUCUCACAACCUGCCCCGCACCCCCCUGCAAUUUUAAAAUGUGCCACAAUUGUCAUUUCUGCCCGUUGAUUUAUUUGAGAGCGGUGAGUCAGCUGCAGGCUGGGGACUCCCCACGAGCGGCAAGCGGGAAACAAAACUGGAAACACGGCUGGAAACACGGCUGGAAACACGGCAGCCGCCACGGAGGAUAAAGCAGAGGGGAGCUUUAACACCCUGUGGGCACUGAGCUGCCAAUGCGAGUUUAAAAAAGCGAAACAAAACCAACCUGCUGUUGCCCAGAAAAGCUGUGACUGCCCAGUCCCUGGAAGUGUCCAAGGCCAGGUGGGACAGGGCUUGGAGCAACCUGAGGCAGGGGGGAAUGAGAUGGGUUUUAAGGCGCCUUCCAACCCAAACCAUUCCAUGAUUCUAUCAUUCCACGAUUCUAACCUUUAUAGGUGGAGCAAGUUAAAAACAAAGCCACCUAAAACCAGUUUAAAACCUUUGCAUUUUUCAUGCCAAAUUUAAGCUGUGAAUAAUGUAAAAAUUAAUUUUUUUUUUUUUUAUAGCUGCCUUCAAAAACUGUUUCACCAGACCUGGUGAAGCAUCCAGGAUUUUUUAUUUUCACAGGAAAUAUGCAGAAUGAUCACUUUUUCCCUGCCAAAAUUAACUUGAAAUCAGGAACUGUGCCUGGCUCAGCUCAACUCAACACCCUGUCAGAAUAAUCUCCAAGUGAAGAUUAUCUCCUAGAAAGAUCUACUGAGGACAGGCUCCAUCCCUGCUGACGGCGGGUUAUUCUCGUGGCUGAUGUCAGCUGCAGAUUCCCAAGCCGGGUCAGGAAAUCCAAAGUUAAUGUACAGUCACCUCCGAAUGGAAGAACAGGAACCCUCGGGUUUUCUCCCUGUCCCUCCCUUUCCAGAUCCAAGUUAAGUCACCACAGAUGUUCUCCAUGCACAGAACACCAGCAGUGACAGUGCUCUAUGAUCAGCUCUAUCCAGAAGACACAAAUCCUUGGGAUAUUUUACAGGCUUUGGAAAAAAUACCUGCUGCUUAGAUUUCCUCAACCUGGGAAAACAGCACUAGAAAAUUGCUUCAAGUUUCCUGAAUGUACUGGUGUGUUGUUUGGGAAUAAAAAGAAUUAAAAAGACCUGAUUACUGCCAGCCAACACCCACAAAAAAAUGAUGGCAACUGCUUAAAAUAAAAGCUUAAAAAAUGCACUGUAUCCCAUUCUAAGCAGUGGACUAAAGGAUCUUUGCCUGUGAAACAUUUCGACUUCUGGAUGGAAAAUUAUACAUUGGAGCAAUAAAUGCACAAGGCUAGUACAGACUGGUAUUUCUGACCUACUGAUAACUGUUACAUGAACCUAAAAAGAUAUUUAACCAGAAUUUCCCCUGUUCUUUACACACAUGUAAGUCAAAAGUGCACAUCAAACCACACUUUCCUUCCUAAGGACAGCAGCAGCCCAUUCCCACAAAACUCCUGACACCACCCUGUUAAUCCAACAAUCCAGGUGGCUGUUCUGCCACACUCAGGCAGGAAUCACAGAAUCCCAGAAGGGGACCCUAGAGAUCAUCUCAUUCCAACACCCUGCCACAGGCAGGAAUAACCACAAUGAAAAUUACAGAGGUCUGGGCACACCGACCUUAACUCCUUAUCAGAGCUGAUUCCAACACUGACCUCAAUAUCCAAGCAAGCAGCAGGCAGCUGUUCUGUACACAUGACGCGUCCCACACCAGGGCAUUUGUAUGGGAAAAAAAACAUUUCACACACCUGCGGAAAUAAACACAAGGGGUUUUCCCCCUCCUUCAAAGGAGUUGUUGAACCUGAUGUUGAAGACAUCAGAAAACCCAGUCCAACCUCUGAGGUUGGUUUGUAUGAAGAGAUCAAGAGGAAAUGAGCCGUCGCUGCAUUUUGCCAACUGCAGGCGAGGGCUGAAGGGGCUCAGCCCACAAAGGGAAACCACGAAGAACCUGAACCCCGUUCCUCCAUGUGCAAACAAGGCUUUCCACUGGAAAUAUGGAUAUAAGAGGAAGGGCAGAGAAAGCCACCUAAACAUUCCCUCGGUGUAAUUACCCUGUGCCCAUUACCCCGGCCUCGGCCCCUCCGGAGCAAAGCUCGCCGGGAUGUGAUUCUGUGACAUUCUUGGCACUCGUUCAAGCCGCUGAGAACUUGCCACCCAAGGAACUUUGGUUUGUGCAUGUCACACACUCUGCAGUAUUUAACAGCACUCAGCUAUGAUACAACAAUCCACCGAGAAGGGGGAAAGGCCAGUGCUGCACGGAAACAGAAACAGCCACAAAAAGCAUGAAACUGAUAAAACCAGCAUUUACAACCCUAAAGAGAGAUCAUUAAAUACUGCAGACUAAUGAAACAAGGACAUCCUCCUUCCCUUAACUUUUUCUGCUUUACCACGCCCAGAGAGAAGACUACAAUGAUCUCCUGCUGGGCUGGAAUCCUAAAUCCAAAGAAAUUAAAUUAAAUUAUGUUUAAGGGCCAUGGGAAAGCAACACAAUGGUGACAACUCAACGUCCUUUACAUCCCCAACGAACACACACUGUUGCUGUAUUUAUUUCAGUCUCUGACCAGCGAGUUUUUGAAGACACAGCCUCCAGGUACUAUUUACCAUAUAUUUAUCCUAAGCCAAGUGAGUGGCUGAUUAACAUUCCAUUUGCAUUUCUGUGACAUGCCAUGUAUAAAUAUAUAUAAAUAUAUUUACGUCAGUUAUUUUAUCCUGAUGUCUGACACCUAAUCUUUGAUAAAAGUCUGAAAUGAAUCAUGGAGAAGAUGGAAAUGUUGCUCAGAAGGAUGGACUACUCCCACCCCCAGAACCACCUUCCCCUGCAGCCUUCAGAGUUUCCAGACAGCUUUGGGCUCCUUUUAAUUCCUCCCUGCAACCAAAUAACCCAUUAUGAUUGCUAAAAAUAUGUCUGUUUAUAUGAAUCGCUGUCUGGCUGAAGACACAGUGCCCAACCCACAGCUGGUGUUGUCACCUCACUCCUUGACCUACGUCCCCCUGUCCUUGGGCUUGAACUUCAUGCAGCCAAGAAAUAAAAACACUAACCCAGGGAAAAAAAAGCGUUGGUGACAAACACACUGGCCUAUCUCUGGAGCAAAGAGCUGACUCAGCACUGACAACAGCUUCCCACUGCUGGGAAGAAGCUGCUCAAUCCCCGUGCUCCCCACGCUGGGGAUGGGGAUGGGUUUGGUGUUGAAUUUGGGAGCAGCUGGAGUUACCUGCCUGCCCAGCCUCUUUGAACCAUGGAUGCUCCCUGGGAACAGUGUGAUUGCUCAUGCUCCAAAAGAAACCCUGGGAAGCUGAAGGAAAUGCUUUCUCAGCAAAUGGCCACGGUGACGGAGCUCGGCGCUGGGAAAGAUAAAAGUCAUCGAGGCCUUGAGGGUGAAGUACAAAGCAGCUCUUCAGCUCUGCUUUCCCACAGUUAAACUUCCACCGAUGCAAAGAGGGAAGAAAGAGGGUGGGUGUGAGAAUGGGUGAGCAGGGUGAACCUCUGUUUAACAUCACCUUCACAGAGCGAAGCCCUGGGUCAAGAUCCCUCGUGAGAAGUCCUGCUGCAGCCACCCAGAACUCCCAUCUCCUCCGGCCAUGCUCCAAAUUAUUCCAAGCACUGCCAGCACAUGCCUGAGGAAGAGCUGCUUCUCCAGGCAUGGAUCAGGCAAAAGGUGGCCAACGGCAGAGUAACUGUGUUAAAGGGAAGAGCUUUUGCCACCUAUCUGCUGGUGAUCUAAAUUAGUAUUUUGUAACUGACACUUCAGAGCACAUGAAAUCUUUGGGCAAAAGCUGCAUUUUAGUACCAGGUUCAUGGGGGGCUGUCUUAACAUCCACUGCAGAUGGGAAAGGAAGGUAGGAAGAGGCCAAGGCUUUGCCCAAGGUCAUUCCAUGAAUCACAGAGGGAACAGCCUGAGGAAUUUGAUCUCCUGGCUCACGGGUGGCCAAGUCUUUUCAAAAUACCAAGAAAGCAACACAGAAUCAUUUAAGCUGGAAGAGAGGUCCAUGAUCAUCAAGCCCAAUAUUUAAAAGCAGUUUCCUCAACAACAACAACACUGCUUUCAUGAAGGGACCGACUCAGCAUCCUAGGAAAAAACACCAAAUUCUACUCCAAGUGCUGCCUAUGAGCCAGGAGAGUCAAAUGCCAUUGAAAAUGCAACCACCACUGCAUCCAAGUAGGCUACUACGCAUUUACUCAAGGAGCAAAAUGUAACCUCUUUUGCCUUAAGAGCCCUGUCAAAUGAAUUCCUGGGAAUAAACACUUGUAAGUACAAUUUCAAAACCAUUUGGCAUUGACUAAGUGUUGAGCACUGGGCAUCUUUCAGAAGAAAAGCCUUUUUCAGACAUAUGCUAGAACAAAAAAAAAAAAAAAACCCUCGCACUGAUUCACCUCCAGGUUACUGCAGUUACUUUUUAACAUAAAGCUGCCAGAAGAUCAUGGCAAACUGCCCCAUAGAAUUAAUUCUGUCUUCAUGUUUUAGAAAAGCAUCACACCUUGCCUUAGAAAAACCAAGCCAGGCACUAUUUGCAUGCACUGCCUCCUCCCAACCCAAGGCACUGGGUUUUUUUAGCAAUACACAAAACACCAUUUGUUGAAAUUCCUGAUUUGGAGCAGUUUUGAAAUGGUGCAUCCUCUCCUAUAAACAGAAUUGUUCCUGGGAUGGGAGCUGCAAUGGAAGGCAUGCCAAGAUACACAGCUGAGCUACAAUGCUGCUUAAGUAAAUUUGGGAACAUGCAAAGCUUAAUAUAGAAAUUCCCUUUAUGGCAGAUAAUGCCGUGGAAGUUUAGUACUUCUAAAAAUGGUCACUAUUGUCCAAAGAGAGAAAUCCAAAUGGAAAUGGACAGAGCAAUCCUAGCUCUUCAUUCAAAAUAAAUCCAUUUAGCAAGGGUGUUUUUCAAAGAGACUUUGUAUUCCCUUACAUCUCAGAAUCAUAAAAUACUCCUUCUGAUCUAAGAUUCUAAUAGAAUCUUCUACAGCCUUUCAAAGAAACACCAAAGAGAUGAAGGGAAGAAUAAUUUUGGAGGCUUUUUUUUUUAAUGCCCCCUUUUAGACCGACAACAGUGACUGGAGGAAUCACAGGAGAGCUCUGUAAAACCAGAAUGGGAGCUGCUGUUCUGGAGUAAAGGACUACUUAAAAUGGAAGGCCUGGGAAAAAAAAAGUCAUUUCUGUGAUCUCAGGCAGCAUAAAUUAUAGAGAGAAGACAUUUGAUGAGUUCUAUGCUAAGGAUUAAUUUGCCAUUUAAAAAUGCAGGGAACAGAUGGAUCUCUUGGCUAGGACUAUAUUUGGGAAUUACUUCAUUUUGCUGCCCACAUGCAAAUAAAAAUACAACUAAAAGUAGAACUUUUUGUGGGCUUUCACAUGGGUAGAAAACACUGAAGUAAUGAAAAUAAAACCAAAAGAAUAUGUCUGUAUGAAAUAGGUAAAAUGCCACAGCACCUAUUGUGGAUCUGCAGUAGGCUGGGGGAGAGAAUGUGAUUUUACUUUGUUGAACAACUAUGGAGAGUAAUGCCAGGCUAAAGAGCAAAUUUGAGAGAAAAGCAACUCCAAAACCAACCCAGCAAAACCCGUAUCAUAUGACAGUGUUUGCCACUUAAGAGUAACUUCUGAGAAAGCACCUUACUGUAACUUAAUUCCACGGAACUUGUUAGGAUUUAGCGAUUACAUCUUCACACAUGGUCAGAAGUCCAGGGAUUCUCUUUCCCAAAAGCCUGGGCCAGUUCCAUCACACUUAGCAGGGAUCACAGAGCACAGGUGAGAAAUUAAUUUGUGAGAAAAAUGCAUAUGUAGGGGAAAAUCCAGAAGAAAAUGCCUUACACCUCCCUGGACCGAGUAGAGCCCUGGCCUCCACCCCGCAUGGCAGCGGCUGGGGAAGGAGGAGCAGCGCGAGGCAAUCCCGCUGGCACAGGGAGAGCACAGGACGGAAGAAAUGUCCUCUGAGGAAUUCCCACAGGCAAAGACGGUGCACUUCCCUUAUGGGAGCCAGUGCUUUCAAACCCCCAAACCAUGGCAGCCACACGCACAGGGUAAUUAAGCACCUGCCUUUCUUCCAUGUGAUUUCUCCAAGUUCGAGAGAAACCGCGUAUUAAAAAGCAAACCCAACAUCAACCCCUGAGACAGCUGUCAGAUACCAUCUCUGUUGCUCCUCUAGCAACACAAUGAGCCUUUCUCCUUCCUCUCUCCAUCUCAAAAACAAACAAACUGAAAAUUUCACCCAGCAAAGCCCCGACCAGCGCAGCACGUCCUCGGCGUAUUCCCAGACUCCGGAACCGGGAUAAGCACAGCUCUGAGCGCAUUUAGGAAACGAAGAGGAACAGAAAAUCUGUACUAACCCGACAGCUUCCCUUCUGUGACUAUUCAUCCUUCACAAUCCAACAGGACACAUCAGCCAGUAAACAAACAUGGAAGGGAGGGACCAACUUCAAAGCAAGUGUGUAAAUCUGACAUAAUUUGAGGGUUUGAGAUCUUGCAGCAACCUCUUACCCAACGAGGUGUCAGAUGAUCCAAGGAGGUCAGACCUGUAGCAGCCACGGUAUAAAACCAAUGAUUUCUGGACAUCUGCAGAGAACACCCCACAACCAUGGAAGAAAUGAGGAUACAGGCCUGAAAACCACUUCCCUCUCGUAGAAAGGAUUCUCUAAGAGAACACAUCGAAGCCCUCACCUCUCUCCCAAGCCUGUGAUUUUCCACUCAAGAGCCACGCUGCCUUCUCCUCUCCAAGCAGCAUUAGGAGCUGACCGCAAGGAUCUGCAGUGGGAUCCCUAAUCUCCUGCUAAGAAGCUUUUGCACUUAAACCCUUGAUGCCAUCAUUAGUGGUUUCAGCACUCGCGACGUCACAGCCAGACUACGCUCGAUGGCGGGACGAUGAGGGCAAAGCUAAGCGCAUCAGGUACACGGUUAAUUCAAUGCAAAAAGAUUAGGGGAUGAUACUAUUUUUUUAUUUUUUUCCCCAAUGAGGCUUAUUUACGAUUAAUUCCCAUCCCUGUGACCUUCUUUAAGUACAACGUGUUCCACCUGAGAUUGUUUGUAAAGUUAACGCCCAAGUGGCAUCGCUACGCCUCGAGGAGACCUGUUCUCCCAGCCCUCAGGUUUUACAGGGAAGGUUCUCCUUCUGCAUCCACACCUCUGGCAGAGCCAGAAACAUCCUCUUUGGGGAAAAACAAAACAAAACAAAACUAACAAAUCACUGUAUUUGCAAGUUCGAAGGGACGUGGUAUCUAGGCUUUAAUUGGAACGUAUGGCUGAGCCCAGGCAGUGGCUGGAUUUUUCCUUUGAUCACUGUAAUGACUGGUAUUUUUUCAAUACAGCCUUCCUCUUCUGCUAUACAUCCCUCCAUGUGAAUAUUCAUCAGAAAUUAUUAAACUGCCCUUUAUUCCAAAGGUCUGUGUGAUGGGGAGGCUCUUCCCCAGCUCUGGUGCCUGUGUCUCCAUCUGAGCUGUCUGACUCCACCACCGCUGCAGAUAAGCACUUCCAGGCUAGGAUCCUCUAAUCUAUUUUAGCCAUGAUUCACAUCCGAGCUGCGUGUCUCCCAAAGAAAGGCAAAUCUGGACUGCUUGUGCAGAGGGAGGCAGCCACCACAGCCCACAGCACCACACGUUUCCCUGUUUUCCUUGGCUUUCUCGGGGCUGGUUUCCCCUUGCUCUCCCAGCGUGCAGCAGGAAGAAAACACAUUUCUCUUCCUGCCUCCAGGAUCUCUCAGACUAAGCCUGGCUUCUGAGCAGCAACACGGGCAGCUUCAACUUCCCUGACCUCAGCUAAUUCUUUCCUUCCCUCAGCCUACUCAAGAUGAUUAAGCAAAAUACUUGGAAGGAAAUCAAAGCCUUAAAAAUGCAAUUAGAAGUGACCAUUUUGUUAAUACGCACACGCACAACCCCAAAGUCAAACCCAAUCCAACAGCACCUGACCUUUGGGAAAACAGCAAUUUUUAGCAGCUCCCAUGGACUUAAGGAACAGCCCAAAGCCUCCCACAACACUGCUGGGAGCAGUGCUGUCCACAUAGCUCAGGUUUUUCCCACUAUUCCUAAAAAAGGAGGUUAAAAAGACACAAAAUUGCAAAUUCUCACACUAGACACUGGCUCCUGCAGACCUACAGCUGUCCAGGGGUGACUUAAAAAUAUCAUUUUUAAUACACAUCCUUCCACAUACCCAGAUCUUUCUCACCCAGCUGAGGAAAAGGCAAGUUCACCGGAGGGUUUAGAAUCAGCUGCCACAAAUCCUCAUAUUCUCCAGCAAAGAUUCUGAUCUCAUUGCAAGAAACCUUUAAAGCACUGAAAUAAUAAUAAUCUCUUUAACAACAAUAGUCGUUUGAAAUCAUCAAAAUAGUUAUCAUGGUAAUAAAACAGAAAUAUUUUUCUAGGGCAAUUUCCACUUCACCCAUCCACAAUAUGAUAUAUUUUUAAGACUCCUUUCCUGAAAUUAAUUUGAAAAAAGAUUUUUUUUUUCCUCUGCCUGUAAAGAAUCAAAUGCACUUUGAGAAAGCAGCAGUUGAGCUUCUGGGCCCUGACACAGAAACAAAGGCUGACAGCCCAGAUUUAGAUAAACACCUACUUCUGCACAUCUAGGAAGAGGCUUAAUUGCUUUGUCACUUAGAGCCAGCAAUUACCAACUAUUACUGGGAGUGCGGCGGUGGUGGGGGGUAUUAAUUGCAGCCAAAUGUCCACUCUUUUUGGGCAGCUCAUGCCAAGAAAAUUAAAUACUAAAUAAAAAAAAAUUAAAACCCCUCUUCGUUAUAACGUUUUAAAGUAUUUUAUUGUCUAUUUGUAUGUAAGGGGAGGAGGUGGGGGUGGGUUCUCCCAGAGGAUGAUGGAAUUUCUAUUUAAUUUUGAAAUUGUGUCAAAUCACGGCAGAGGUGGUAUUAGGAUGUUGGGGCAGGCUCCAAAAUCGCCCUUUUGGGGGAUUUUUGGGGCUGAUUCCUCCAGCGAGGAAACCAGUGCUUAACUUCUAGAGCGAGCAGAGCAUUUAAGGUUUAAAACAAAUAAACAAAACAACCUAAAAUAGGCUGAGAGGGAAAGAGGGUUUUCCUCCCUCAGAGCCGGCUCUGACACAGCCGCUGCUCCUUCGUUUCUCUGCGCUGUUUGAGGGGGAAAUCUUCAUGCAGGAGCGAGAGCCGCUCCAGGGCUUAGGUGGGGGAGGGAUCCUAUAUAUAUUUUUUUUUAAUUUACAAGGCUUUUUUUCGUGGCAAUGGCGGUGUUUUUCCGCGGGGCUCGGGCGGCCCCGCCCCGGGGGCGGCGCGGCAGCCCCGGCCGGCUCCCGCCGGCUCAGACCGGUUCUCAGCGCAAACAACCGCCCCCCGCCCGCCGGGGCACCGCGGAGGCGAGCCCCUGCUUUUCCUCCAGAAACACUCGCUUUCCCCCCAUAAAACACCCGCUUCUCCCUCAGGAACACCCGCUUCUCCCUCAGAAACACCCGCUCUCCCCGCCCCCCGAAACAACCGAGUGAGGCGACUCCGCGGCCGCGCCGCCAUUACAGCGGCGGGCGCGCUCCGCCGGCUGUGAGGCGAGAGAAAGCGGCGGGGUUUCGGAGCGAGAUAAAAAUCUUAUUAUGCAACGCACAUUUUUAAUAGAUUAUUGCCGAGUCCAGGGCUGAGGUAAUGCGGGCUGUCAGCAGCUGGGGCGAGAGGCUGAGGGACAAGCGGGCUGCGGCCGCUCCCUGCCAAGGGCGCCGAGGCACCAUUUCUUCACCAUCCGUGAGGAGAACUUUGAUAUAUCACGUUAUUUUUUUCCACAGAAGGAUCUAUUUAUGUGGUUACACAUGCACAGGUACGUCUUUUUCGGCAUAUCUCGAGUAUAAAGGUUUGCUUUCUGCAUUGCAAGCUCUCCAAAGCCAUUUGAAAACGUCCUGCCUGUACUCAAUCUCAGGAAACCCGAUACAGUCCCAAGGGUAAAAAAAGCCACGUUUUAAAGGAUGGUCUCGGUUAUAUUUAGCUGAGCAGCAGCACAGGCUGACACGAGCAGAAACACAAGGAAGAACAAAGUGAAAACGCUCGACAGUUAUUAACAAAAACCUGCGAGUAUCUGAGGUGGAUUUUUUUCUAAAUUUUCCUUUCCCCAAUUCACAUUUUGCGGCGCAGAGAGAAUAUUAAAGCAGCACAUGGGUUUAUGCAAACAAAAGGUAAGGGCGAGGUGUUUCACCUGACUCUUGACAGGAUUUGCUUUUGCCUUUGUGUAAUGGAAAAGGCCUCCUACUCUUAAGAAAUUCUUUAAUUUUCUUUUCUAAAUCUUAACCUAAUUCUUUUCCCAUACAAACACAAGCCUGCUCAACCCUGUCGUUCUACCAGAAGAGAUGAAAAAUUUUCAGCUCAUCUCUACAGUACCAAAUGUAUGUGGAAUUAUUUAACCUCGACAAAAGCCACCUCACAGAUGCUUCAAUAAAGACUAAACAGCUACAUUUAACCUCAUUGUUCCCGAUUUUUCAUCUGUCCUCAGCACAAGCAUCUCCAAACCCACUGAAAAUCCCAAAUCCCAGCUAAAUCAGUGAUUCAUCACUUUUGGCAGCAAACGACACGGGAAGGAGGAGAUGAAGACAAUGGUAGAGAAAGGUUUGCAUUAUGUAAUGAAACUAAAACUCACUUUUUUCUACUUUCACUUCAGUUGUUGAAACAUGGUAGGAAAGUCCCUGACUAAAUAAAAUACACAGGAGGUUUCAGGGAGUCUGGUUUUCCCAUGAUUAAAAUUCUCUUGGCAGUAUUUUUCAUCAGUUUAUUUCAAUAUUAAGACACACACAUAUUCCAUUCCAAUGGUAAUUCCUUGCUCCAGAAAGAAUUUCAUCACAGAGAAAUCUAAAAUUAAAACUAAUCUCUAAUUACCUUAUGCCUUGCCCACUUGUCAAGAGAACUUUAAAUACAGCUAUCAGAAUUACAAAAAAAAAAUUCCCUUUUCAAAUAUCUCUAAGUGCAGCUUCUUCCUGUUCCUUGAUUUCAGGAAGACUGGAAUCACUGUGAUCACACAGAUCUUGGUGAAUAUAAAACCAGUGUUAUAUCUAAGGUGAAAAUGCUCUUUUAAUUUCCCAAUAUCUAUUUCAUAUUACAAGCUAUAGAGAAAUAGUCAUGUAAAUAAUUAUUCAUCCAACUCCAGCAUCCUGGAGAUGAGACAACCAAAUAAACACUCUUAAAAAUAAAUUAAAGGUGACUACAUUACACAUUAUAGGAAAUUAUUCAUUUAACUGGUAAAUCCCCCAGCAUCCUCCACACCAGACAACCGAAUAAACACUCUUAAAAGAUAAAUUAAAGGCCAAGGGAAACCUCAGGUCGCUUAUCUGCAGCUGGAACACGUGGGGUGUUCACGCUUUCACAGCCUGAACAUCACCUACAGGAAAUCAAACACUUCUGCCUGGGUUUUUGUAAAUGAAUUCAAACCCCAUCCCAAGAAGGAUUUUAGCAGUGAAACACCCCGCUCUCAGCACUGGGUGGUUCAGCGCACUGCUGCAGCACAGCUUUAAGAAUAAUCACUAACACAUGGAGCAGCAAGAGACGUGUCAGGCCAUCUGACGUUACCAAACUGAAUCAAAAAGCCCAGAAAUUAUUUUUAGUGCAUUAGAGCACCUCAACAAGCAGCCUAGAAAAGAGCUUUUGCUACAAAAGAAAAAAACCUAAAAGCAGGGGGGAUGUUUCCAGGAGGCUGGGCAGGGCACAAACAAAAUCUUGUUUGCUUCCUAUGGGAUCACCCAGCUUCCAUCCAGAGCCAGCUUCUUCCGUGACACAGUGCAGAAAAUAUGUUUGCUAAUGUAUCAUUUGUGGUGUGUGUCUGAAUCACCAGAAUGGAGACAAUGAAGCUUCUGGUGGUGGCAAAUUAUCAUUUUCAAGGGCUUUUUUAUUCUUUCAAGGUGAUUAAAAAAUUCCACCAACCCUUUUCCACUAUAUAGGGGGGGAAUGAGCAAUCUUACACUAAGAAGACUUCAAAACACAAAUUCCUCCUCAAAUCCACGCAGGAAACAUCCACAUCCACCAGCUUCCUCACCUCAGCAGGCAACUUCUGAGAGGCCACAAAACCCCCCAAAUAAAGCCUGGCUUCAGAGAACACUGGUUAUUUUUAAUGUGUUCUUUCUGGUUUUAGUUUCUAAAUUACUCCUUGCAGCACCAUUACUUGCAAAGGCCUCCAAAUAGCAAUUUAAAGCAAAGUUUAGUGGCGAUCCAACACAACAGACUCUGAACCUUGACAAGAUAAAGGCUUUUUGGGGUUGUUUUUUCAUUUUUAAGCAAGCAGUGUUUCUUCAGUAUUGUCAAGGAAAAUCAGCUCCAUUUAACCAGCGUUAUGUACUUCACACAACUCUUGAAAACCACAAGCAAGGAAACCCAGACUUCUCCUUCAGCACCUUUCUGUUUUUUCACAGCUCCUGAAGGACAGUGCUCAGCACAACGUUCCCACCAGAGCUGAACACCCCGUGUGCCCCAAACACCUCCAGGGCAGGGAACACAACUCUGCCAGCUGAGACCAACAGGACGAGACCUGAGUGACCAAAUUCUUAAAUUUCAGAAGAAUGCAGAGUCACAAAGACCUUAAGAAUACCAUGGCCCCUCAAAAUUGGCCAUUUCCACUUCUAAAAAAGCCGUAAGAGAAUCUCCGGCUUGCUAAAUUCCUGGGGACCAUGGAAACUGCAGGCAAUAAUUAUUCUCCAGACAAAAGAAACUGGAUAUAUCGCACAGCAAGUGGGAGCACCAAACCAGGGAAAAGGGGGUGAGGCAGCUUUCGCUCACCAACAGUGUAUGAGGGGCUUAAUAUUUACAUGGCUAAAUUUCAACUGGGUUGAAAAUUCAACACUUGUGCUUUGAAAGACUUCAAGGCCAGGUGGGGUUUUGCUUCCCAAAGUAAAGAGAGGGUUAAAUGUUUAUUAUUAUCUAACUGAUUGCUAAGAAACAUGUAAAACUCUUUUCUGAUCCUUCAAAAUUAAAUAUACAAUCCACCAGAUUCUAUUACUUGCUCGACUGAGUUUGACUUUAUUGUAUUAAUAAGAAAAAAAUGUUUUAUUUCCUCCCAGAGUAUCGUCUACUUUUCCAUUACUACAGCUAGAAAUUGCCAAGAAAAUGAAAUGCUCAAGCACAGCAGACGCUGCUUUUCUUCUCAUUAAAUCUUAAAACUUGGUUCCAGUGGGAUCAUAUUUAGUCCUCUCAAAUUCAGAACAGGAUUUCAUCCUGCCUCGACAUCCCAACAAUGACAUUUUAUAAAUAUUACGAGUUUCUUGGACGCCUUUCUCAUUCCACAAGGAGCAGAGAAGCACCAGUUGAGAUUUUUUUCUUCUUCCCCUUCUCGAGAUGUUUUUUUUUUAAACCUUAAAUGUAACCAGUCCUCCUUUCAAUCCAUUUUCUCUAGGAUUUUUUUGAGACCUCUGGAAGUCUCAGAGAUUUUUCUGAGCUGUAAUAAGUGUGAAAAAUCUUUGACAAAGGAUUGUCUUUAUUCAAGCAUUAAGCUCUCAUUGAGAGAGGUGCUGGAAAUAAACAAGUGCUUAAAAGCAGCCUAAAAGUUGUCUUACAUCUUCACCUGCUCUCCAGCUGAGACAGGACCUGGAUUUCUAAAUCCAAGAGGAGAAAACAAUAAUUAAAUGAAGUAAAUAAAUCCUUGCAUGAUUCUUUAGACAUGAGGGGGUGGGGUGGCAAUCAGAAGAGGAGACACUGAUUUCCUCAUCUUCUGUAUACUCUCCGUGGACGUCAACCCAUCUCAUCCUUCCAGAAGGUUCAACACUCAAGAGAAGGCUUUGUGAGAACAAACCCCUUGGUCAGAGAGUUCUGACAGUGGUAAAAUUCCAUUCACAGUAAUAAACACAGAAUCCUAGAACAGGUUGGAAGGGACCUUAAAGUUCACCUAAUCCCACUCCCUGCCACGGAUAGGGAUACCUUCCAUGGUCCCCGACUGCUCCAACCCUGUCCAGCCUGGCCUUGGACACCUCCAGGGAUCCAGGGGCAGCCACAGCUGCUCUGGGCACCCUGUGCCAGGGCCUGCCCACCCUCACAGGGAGGAAUUCCUUCCCCAUAUCCCAGCUAACCCUGCCCUCUGGCAGUGGGAAGCCAUUCCCCCUUGUCCUGUCACUCCAGGCGUUUGCGAAAUCGAACACUCUACUGAUACACUUAUUUACUUAAUGAAUAUUUUCAGUUUUAGGAAAGACCUGGUAUGCAAAGGAAACGCUGCCAACUCUGCAAACCCUCCUGAAGAGCAGAGCUCUUCGCCAAAGAGCAUAAAAUAUUUAUGGAUGCAACUGUAGCUUUGUGGCUUCCACUCUUAGGGUGAAUUCACUCUUAAAAGGCCAAAUUUCAGAGAGGCACUUUAACAUGAAUUUUAAAAUUGUUAAAAGAAAUCAGUGAUUUUCUAACACCUUCUUUUCUCCCCCAUAGGUAUUUUGUAAAGCCAUGCAAAUACAGAGCUAUUGCAGAACCAAGGAAACGCAUCCCCAGGAAUUGCAAACUUGGAUUAUUUUCUUUUAAUUCUUCCAAGUCUACAAAUUUUGCCAUGAGGCAGCAGGACGAGAAAUGGGAAGGCGACAAAUCAACCUUGUGAAUGUCAGCAGUGUCACUGAACAAGAAGAAACAGAACAAUACCACUCAUCAUUUCCCAAAGUAUGUUGAAGCGUGGUCUGUAAAAAGUAGCUGACCUUAAAAUUGGCUUUUUCUCUCACUGAAGCAAAUAAAAGUGACCCCGUUCUCCAGACACACAGGCAGCGAGGCAUUGUGUCUGUACAUCCCUGCUCUGCCCAGCCACCAUCUUACAGACGCUGCACGGAUCCACCACGGAAAACAACGAACAGCACCAGCGUUCCCCUUGGAACCCUCGGUGCCAGCUGAGCCUUCUGCCAUUUCACCGCACUUCGCUUCUACCUCGGCGACCAAAGCUUGGCCACGGAACAGCUCCUCGGGCUCACGCCUCAGGAAAGGACCCGCGCAGCCCACGGCACAGAG
Motacilla alba alba is the source of this 19303-nucleotide long non-coding RNA. RefSeq lists it as uncharacterized. Lineage: Eukaryota; Metazoa; Chordata; Aves; Passeriformes; Motacillidae. The transcript has 3 exons. The record is from RefSeq and is a predicted model, not a curated record.